AACGAACGCUGGCGGCAUGCCUAACACAUGCAAGUCGAACGAAACCUUCGGGUCUAGUCGCGCACGGGUGCGUAACGCGUGGGAACCUGCCCUUAGGUUCGGCAUAACUCCCCGAAUGGGGUGCUAAUACCGGAUCAUGUCUUCUGCCCAAAGAUUUAUCGCCUUUGGAUGGGCCCGCGUGGGAUAAGAUUGUUGGUAGGGUAAAAGCGUACGACGGCGAAGAUCCAUAGCUGGUCUGAGAGGAAGCUCAGCGACACUGGGAGUAGGAAACGGCCGAGAAUACUACGGGAGGGAGGAGUGGGGAAUAUUGGAAAAUGGGGGAAAGGCUGAAGCAGUAAUGAAGGGUGAGUGAUGAAGGUAGUAGGGUAGUAAAGCUAUUUUACCCGGGAGGAUAAUGACAGUACCGGGAGAAUAAGCACCGGCUAACUCCGUG
This 433-nucleotide ribosomal RNA is filed under the name uncultured bacterium. RNAcentral describes it as "partial 16S ribosomal RNA". It matches the Rfam family "Bacterial small subunit ribosomal RNA", at positions 29 to 507 of the family's 1533-position model. The record is from RNAcentral.